GCACAAGCGGAGGAGCAUGUGGUUUAAUUCGAUGAUACGCGAGGAACCUUACCUGGGCUCGAACGUAAGAUGACUGUAGGUGAAAGCUUACAUCUCUUCGGAGCAUUUUUACGAGGUGCUGCAUGGUUGUCGUCAGCUCGUGCCGUGAGGUGUCGGGUUAAGUCCCAUAACGAGCGCAACCCCUACCUUUAGUUGCCAUCAGGUUAAGCUGGGGACUCUAAAGGAACUGCCUACGCAAGUAGUGAGGAAGGCGGGGAUGACGUCAAAUCAGCACGGCCCUUACGUCCAGGGCUACACACGUGCUACAAUGGCCGAUACAGAGGGCAGCUACCUGGUGACAGGAUGCAAAUCUCCAAAGUCGGUCUCAGUUCGGAUCGGAGUCUGCAACCCGACUCCGUGAAGUUGGAUUCGCUAGUAAUCGCGCAUCAGCCAUGGCGCGGUGAAUACGUUCCCGGGCCUU
This 460-nucleotide ribosomal RNA is filed under the name uncultured Sphingobacteriales bacterium. Its description in RNAcentral is "bacterial SSU rRNA". It matches the Rfam family "Bacterial small subunit ribosomal RNA", at positions 923 to 1382 of the family's 1533-position model. Lineage: Bacteria; Pseudomonadati; Bacteroidota; Sphingobacteriia; Sphingobacteriales. The record is from RNAcentral.